UAUAAAGUAAGUAAAAAUAAUUUCAAACUUAAUAUAGAAAGAUUAAACUAUACCUUUUGUAUCAGGGUUUUACUAUUUAAAAAAUAAAUUUAAUAUUAGAGACAAGAAGAUUUAAAUGGUUUUUUAUCUUUACUGAGUGAGUAAAUAUUAAAACUAUUUAGAACAGACAUUGUAUCGCUUCUUGUUAUAACUAAUUUCUAUAAUAAAACAGGGAUCAGCUUUAUACAAAUUUACUUUCUUUUGCACAUACAAAAUAUAAGCUUAGAAGUAGCUAUUAUCUUGUGUAAAAACUUAAAUAAACCAAAACAAAGUAUUUUAUUAGAAAUUUCUUAGUUAACUUAAUACUAAGCUAACAAUGUAAAAAUGAGUAUCUUAUAAUAACAUGAAAUAAAUAAUUCGGCAAAAAUAACGGUAACUGUUUAAUAAAAACAUUUCCUUCUUAUUUUUUGGAAGGUACGCCCUGCUCAAUGUUUUGAUUCAAAAUAAAUAGCCGCAGUAACCUGACUGUGCUAAGGUAGCGCAAUCCAUAGUUUCUUAAUUAGAAACCAGUAUGAAUGGGCUAAUACUGUUAUGCUUUCUUAUUUCAUAAAAGAAAAAUUUAAAAUCUAAAUUAAAAUGUUAGAAUGAAUAAACAAGACGAGAAGACCCUGAGAAGUUUUCUUAAGAAAUUAAUUUAGCUGGGGAAUCUAAAGAUAAUUAAACAUCUUUUUCUUAACCUCUAAGAGAUAAAGAGAAAAAAUUACUCCGGGGAUAACAGGGUAAUUAUUUUUUGAGUGCGUAUUAAAAAAAUGGUUUGCUACCUCGAUGUUGGGUUAAAAUUACAAAAAUGUGCAGCAGCAUUUUGGGUUAGUCUGUUCGACUAUGAAAAUUUUACAUGACCUGAGUUUAGACCGGCGCGAGCCAGGUCGGCUUCUAUCUGUUUAAAUAAACUCUUUUUGUACGAAAGGACU
This 950-nucleotide ribosomal RNA is filed under the name Stenostomum sthenum. RNAcentral describes it as "16S ribosomal RNA". The stretch from base 631 to 921 matches the Rfam family "Archaeal large subunit ribosomal RNA", at positions 2151 to 2715 of the family's 2987-position model. The record is from RNAcentral. Lineage: Eukaryota; Metazoa; Platyhelminthes; Stenostomidae.